Molecule: long non-coding RNA, 575 nt
Filed under: Neogale vison (American mink)
Lineage: Eukaryota; Metazoa; Chordata; Mammalia; Carnivora; Mustelidae
Description: Neovison vison (American mink) lncRNA (ENSNVIG00000006489.1)
Source: RNAcentral
CUCUGUCUUAGGGGACUCUGUCCAGGAGGUGAGCUGGGCCCUGCAGUCCCUCGUGGCUCUAAGAAAAGAAUAACGAGGAAUAAAUGCUUUGCUACCUCCCAGAACUGACAACUGCUUCGGGAAGAAGGAUCGCACAUCUGUUUUGCAGGAACAACUGAGCUCCUCUCAGCCAAGUAGGCAAACUGCAGAGCCUUCUCGCAUCUUCCUCCGUCUUCCUUCCCAAGGCAAAUGGAACCUUGGGCAUGCGGUGGUGGGCUGUGAGGACGGGCCCCUGUGGAUCUCGCCAGGUGGGUGGGAUAAGCCCAGCCACGUGGCAGACCCUGCUUCAGUGAAGUGGGACAGUGACAGCACCUGCCUCCUAGGCCCAUGAGCUUUUGCUCUGUAAGUACACACAGAGCCCCCAGAAUUGCCUGUGGCAUGCAGUGAGUGCCCAGCAAAUGCCAGCAUUCUCCUCCUGUUUUAAAAGGCCUCAGUGGCUCGUCAAGCAAGUAGCAGGCAAACAAAGUCAUGUAAGCAUCUAAGGAUAGGGACCCCAUUUCUCAGAUGAGUAAUAAAGCUUCAAAAGCAAUGAACCA